CGGCUCCCCGACCUCCCUACGCAAUCGCACCCCCCGGGUCCCCGUCGCCUCGGCCUCCCGCCGCUCGGGCCCUCCUCUCCUCCCCUGCGGCCUGCCGGAUUUCUAAUUCCUGCGCACCCCUCCCCCCCCCCAACCCUGCCAAAUUAAAUCCUCCGGCAGAAAGCAGGGCAUCCCCCCGGAAGCGGCGGCGUCUCCCUUUACCUUGCUCUUCUUCUCUUUCCGAAGAUGCUAAACUACUGGCGGACUGCAGAGGAGAGGGGUCCCGUCUUCUCCUGAUGUGUUUGCCUGUAGGUACCUGAACUGACACCGACGGUGCCUAAAGAUGCUGAGCGGCGUUUGGUUCCUCAGUGUGUUAACCGUGGCCGGGAUCUUACAGACGGAGAGCCGCAAAACUGCCAAAGACAUUUGCAAGAUCCGCUGCCUGUGCGAAGAGAAGGAAAACGUCCUGAAUAUUAACUGCGAAAACAAAGGAUUUACAACCGUCAGCCUGCUCCAGCCCCCCCAGUAUCGAAUCUACCAGCUUUUCCUCAAUGGAAACCUCCUGACGAGACUGUACCCUAACGAGUUCGUCAAUUACUCCAACGCCGUGACUCUCCACCUGGGCAACAACGGGCUGCAGGAGAUCCGAACCGGGGCGUUCAGCGGCCUGAAAACCCUCAAGAGACUGCACCUCAACAACAACAAGCUCGAGGUGCUGAGGGAAGAUACCUUCCUGGGCCUGGAGAACCUCGAGUACCUCCAGGCCGACUACAAUUACAUCAGUGCCAUCGAGGCAGGGGCCUUCAGCAAACUCAAUAAGCUCAAGGUGCUCAUCCUGAAUGACAACCUUCUGCUGUCCCUGCCCAGCAAUGUGUUCCGCUUCGUCCUGCUGACCCACUUAGACCUGAGAGGGAACAGGCUGAAGGUGAUGCCUUUCGCCGGCGUCCUUGAGCACAUCGGCGGGAUCAUGGAGAUCCAGCUGGAGGAGAACCCGUGGAACUGCACUUGUGACUUGCUUCCUCUCAAGGCUUGGCUGGACACCAUAACCGUGUUCGUCGGGGAGAUCGUCUGUGAGACUCCCUUCCGGCUGCACGGGAAAGACGUGACCCAGCUGACCAGGCAAGAUCUCUGUCCCAGAAAAAGCACCGGCGACUCCGGCCAGAGGGGCGGCCAUGCCGACACGCACGUCCAAAGGCUGUCGCCCACCAUGAAUCCCGCUCUCAACCCAACCAGGGCGCCCAAAGCCAGCCGACCCCCCAAAAUGCGAAAUCGCCCGACUCCCCGGGUCACCGUGUCAAAGGACAGGCAGAGCUUCGGACCCAUCAUGGUGUACCAGACCAAGUCCCCCGUGCCUCUCACCUGCCCCAGCAGCUGCGUCUGUACCUCUCAGAGCUCGGACAACGGUCUCAACGUAAAUUGCCAAGAAAGGAAGUUCACGAACAUCUCCGACCUGCAGCCCAAACCUACCAGUCCAAAGAAGCUCUACCUGACAGGGAACUAUCUUCAAACUGUCUACAAGAACGACCUCCUAGAAUACAGUUCUUUGGACUUGUUGCAUUUAGGGAACAACAGGAUCGCGGUCAUCCAGGAAGGUGCCUUCACAAACCUGACCAGUUUACGCAGACUUUACCUGAAUGGCAACUACCUGGAAGUGCUGUACCCUUCGAUGUUUGACGGACUGCACAGCUUGCAGUAUCUCUAUUUAGAGUACAACGUCAUCAAGGAGAUUAAGCCACUGACCUUUGAUGCUUUGAUUAACCUCCAGCUGCUGUUUCUGAAUAACAACCUGCUGCGCUCCCUACCCAACAACAUAUUUGGGGGAACGGCCCUCACCAGGCUGAAUCUGAGAAACAACCAUUUUUCUCACCUGCCUGUGAAAGGGGUUCUGGAUCAGCUUCCGGCCUUUAUCCAGAUAGAUCUGCAAGAGAACCCAUGGGACUGCACCUGUGACAUCAUGGGGCUAAAGGACUGGACGGAACAUGCCAAUUCCCCCGUCAUCAUCAACGAGGUGACCUGCGAAUCUCCCGCAAAGCACGCGGGGGAGAUCCUGAAGUUUCUGGGGAGGGACGCUAUCUGUCCCGACAGCCCCAACUUGUCAGACGGAACCGUUUUAUCCAUGAAUCACAACACAGACACUCCUCGGUCGCUUAGUGUGUCUCCCAGUUCCUACCCAGAGCUCCACACUGAAGUGCCACUUUCUGUCCUGAUUUUAGGGUUGCUUGUUGUCUUUAUCCUAUCUGUCUGUUUUGGGGCCGGCUUAUUCGUCUUUGUCCUGAAACGCAGAAAGGGGGUGCCGAGUGUGCCGAGGAGUUCCAACAACCUAGACGUCAGCUCCUUCCAGCUGCAGUAUGGGUCUUACAAUACCGAGGCUCAGGACAAAACAGACGGCCACGUCUACAACUACAUCCCCCCGCCCGUGGGGCAGAUGUGCCAGAACCCCAUCUACAUGCAGAAGGAAGGAGACCCGGUAGCCUAUUACCGAAACCUGCAAGACUUCAGCUAUGGCAACCUGGAGGAGAAGAAAGAAGAGCCCGCCCCGCUGGCGUACACGAUAAGUGCCACCGAGUUGCUCGAGAAGCAGGCCACGCCGAGGGAGCCCGAGCUGCUGUAUCAGAACAUCGCUGAGCGAGUCAAGGAACUUCCCAGUGCAGGACUGGUCCACUAUAACUUUUGUACCUUACCGAAAAGGCAGUUCGCCCCUUCGUAUGAAUCUCGACGCCAAAACCAGGACAGAAUCAAUAAAACCGUUUUAUACGGAACUCCCAGGAAAUGCUUUGUGGGGCAGUCAAAGCCCGACCACCCUUUACUGCGAGCUAAGCCGCAAUCAGAGCCAGACUACCUCGAAGUUCUGGAGAAACAAACUGCAAUCAGUCAGCUGUGAACGGAAACCAUUUACAACCCUCCCGCUUCCAAGGACGCUGCUCCAGACUGUUGGAGACACCGCGUUUGCUUUUCUGGAUUUUGCUAUUUCACUUAUAGUUCCUAUGCAACCUGUAAUGGGUAUGAGCAUCGGCACAGCGAAAUGGUUGCAGCCAACGGAGUGUGAUCUCCCCCGGCCCUGCCUGGAACAGAUCUAUGUGUCUGGCCCUCCAAAAUGGCAAAUGGUAAUUUCCUUCGAUUCUAGCUCUUAAUGAAUUGCCUUCACUGUUUCUGAAUAUACCUGUGGCUACGUUUGUAUUGCAACACUCAAAAGUACUAUUUCUGGGUCUGGACACCAUGGCCAACAGCUUGAUUUGGUUUUGGACUUUGGUCAAUCUGUGUGCUUUUUUAGUUCCCUCUAGCAGUUGGUGAGUAAGGAAACGCUCUUCAAUUUUCUCUGCUUUGCCCUCUGACCUCUAAGGUGAUUUAAUUUUUCUAAAUCUGUCUAUGUCAUCAAGGGCUCCAUAUUUUAGUGGAUUCUACCAAAAACAAAACAAAAAAUGUAUAGGGAACAACAGAGGUUCUGUGAUUUUUUUCAGAUUCUGGAAAUUCAUUUUGAUUGUACAUAUUCCAGAAACAUAUUGGAUUGGAUGCUAGAGUGAAGAAAGCUUUCCAGACGUUUCUCCCAAUCCAAUGAUUUCUUCAUUCCUUCAUUCAUUCAAUAAAUAUUUAUUGAGAGCUUGCUUCCUAGGUGCCAGGCUCUAUGAUGUGUGCCGAGGGGGGAUAGAAAUAGAGUAGACAGGAUCUCUGCCCCCCCCCCCCCAACACCCUCCCUCCAGGGAGCUUACAGCUAAUAAAAGAGAAUCUUAUUUGAAUGAAAAUCACCCCGGGUCAACAAUGGGAAAAGUAAUGAAAUGCAGGAAGUUGCAUUUUUAAAGGUGAUUCUGUGCAAUGAAGUAUAAGAAUGAGACAUCAUAAAUAGACUAGCUACAGUGUAACCACCAUUAACAUCUCUUUAAAAUUACACAGCUAAAAAGGGGGGAAAUCCACAAAAAUAAGACAAACUUCUGCAGGAUAGGGCCCAACAUUGUGGCCUCUGGAUAGCUAUGUACUUGGGCUAUCUAAAGAUCUAUGCUAUAAAGUUGAGUCCCAAAACUGUUUUAGAGGCAGUAUUUGCUCCAUAUUUCAGUAGCUCAAAAGGUAACACUUCGGCUUAAGUGUCCUUUUCCAGUACAGUGAUAUGACACUUACCUAGAUCCUGAGAGAGAAAAUUCAGUACUGUAUAUAGGCGUUACUUUGCUUCUCACGAUGGUUGUGCAAAAAGUCACAUGUAAACUGAAGUUCUGUGAAUCAAAUUGUAUUUUCAGUGCAUCAGGGGAACUGCCACUUAGACAAAACUUGUGAAUACUUUCAUAAAGCAGAAGACCAUCUUAGAAUACAAGUCAUCCCUCUACUUUAUUGGUUUUGUAUGUUUGGAUUUUCAAUCUUGACUUUGCUUAAAGCAGAGCCCACCUGCAGAAUAAGAGUGUGUUCCGCCAGUGCUGCUUGUGCUGCGGGUCUCUUGGUUGCUAAGGGCUUGUACCUGAAACUCUGGGGCUGUUUUGUGUGAAUUGAGCUAUCGGGCGAUUCCAUGAUGGCACAGUAGCAUUCCUGUACAGUUAGAGCAGCCAACCUGUUUCAACCCGUUUCAACCCAAUUGAACACAGGACUCUCGCCAGCAGAAUCGCCUCUCUCAGAUGUGGCCGUGUUUUCGUAGAGGGUAGAGUGACUCCUGUAUUCACAUCCUAUAAAGAGCUUAGAGUCACACACUUUACAAUAAAUAUGUUACUUUGUAAAUAUCUUGAACUGCAUGCCUAUUGGAAAUUUUUAGCAGUUUUAGCUUGAAAGUACUUAUACAAAUACUGUUAGAGUUAGAUGCAAAUAACUGUUGUCAAGUUAUU
RNA transcript from Mustela lutreola (European mink), 4778 nucleotides. It is a transcript of the gene named SLIT and NTRK like family member 2, with no coding region annotated. Lineage: Eukaryota; Metazoa; Chordata; Mammalia; Carnivora; Mustelidae. The transcript has 3 exons. The record is from RefSeq and is a predicted model, not a curated record.